This is a non-coding RNA of Amborella trichopoda, 578 nucleotides long. The record is from RefSeq and is a predicted model, not a curated record. Lineage: Eukaryota; Viridiplantae; Streptophyta; Magnoliopsida; Amborellales; Amborellaceae.
CCAAGAUAAGAUAUCAACUGAAGAGCUGAUUUCGUACAAGUGUUCUUUGAUGUCAUUUGGGAAAGAUAUGGCAUUAAGGCAGAGAAACAAAGACUAACCAGCCCAAUGGUGGAGACAACAUGAGAGUAGCGCUCCAAACUUCCAGAAGAUGGCUAUGCGGAUCUUGAGUUUGACAACUACCUCUUCUGGUUGUGAGCGCAAUUGGAGUUCGUUUGAGAUGGUGCAUACAAAGAGAAGAAAUAGGUUUGAGCAAAGGAAGCUCCAUGACUUGGUUUUUGUUAAAGAGAAUCAAAGGCUCAAGGAGAAGAAAAAUCAGCCAAAGAAGGACCCUAUCUCUUCAAAAGACAUGGAGAAUGCUUCAGAUUGGCUAGUUAGUGACCCUGUACUGAGGAGGUCUGCCCUAGGGAGGGUUUGACAUGGGAAAUGGUCGAGGAGGCUUUGGGGCAAGCUUUUAAUCCAAGGAGGGCCACUCGAGCAACUUCUUCUGCUGGUACUUCACGGAGGGGGAUAGAGGAAGAGGAGGAAGAUUUAGAAGAAUCUCUAGAAGAAGAGGAAAAUGUUGAAGAGGGUGAUGAUUC